AACGAACGCUGGCGGCGUGCCUAACACUUGCAAGUCGAGCGCGAAAGUUCCUUCGGGAAUGAGUAGAGCGGCGGACGGGUGAGUAACACGUGGGUAAUCUGCCCAUAGGUUCGGGAUAGCCCGGGGAAACCCGGGCUAAUACCGGAUACGUCCACAAACCGUGAGGGAUGUGGAGAAAGCGGGGGAGUUCUUCGGAACCCUCGCGCCGAUGGAUGAGCCCGCGGCCCAUCAGCUAGUUGGCGGGGUAACGGCCCACCAAGGCUAAGACGGGUAGCUGGUCUGAGAGGAUGAUCAGCCACACUGGAACUGAGACACGGUCCAGACUCCUACGGGAGGCAGCAGUGGGGAAUAUUGCGCAAUGGGCGAAAGCCUGACGCAGCAACGCCGCGUGAGUGAUGAAGGUCUUCGGAUCGUAAAGCUCUGUCGGCAGGAAAGAAGGUUAGCUUGGCUAAUAUCCAAGUUAUCUGACGGUACCUGCAAAGGAAGCACCGGCUAACUCUGUGCC
This 505-nucleotide ribosomal RNA is filed under the name uncultured bacterium. Its description in RNAcentral is "bacterial SSU rRNA". It matches the Rfam family "Bacterial small subunit ribosomal RNA", at positions 29 to 509 of the family's 1533-position model. The record is from RNAcentral.